This is a small nucleolar RNA of Rhinolophus ferrumequinum (greater horseshoe bat), 122 nucleotides long. Lineage: Eukaryota; Metazoa; Chordata; Mammalia; Chiroptera; Rhinolophidae. The record is from Ensembl.
GUAGACUCACUCUGUACCUGGCUAUAGUCCCAAGUGGGCGCUUUUUCCGUCUUCCACAGAGCAUUCCGGGUGCUGACUACUUUGAUCUGUCAAGGGUCGCUCAGCUGCCGGGAGACACGAGG